UAUUUUGUUCUGAUACAAUGUAUAUGUACAUAGAAAAAUAGGUCAGAUAAUAAACAAGACAAACAUUAUGAUAUCUUCCCCGAGUAGUGUAAGUAAAUGACUUGCUCCAAAGAUUCAAGAUGGCGCUGUUUCAGGUCGUACGAGACUGGGUGCAGCUGUGGUAUUACAGAUAUCUGCUCGUCACGGCGCUCUACAUGCUCCAGCCGUGGGAGAGACAUCUAUUCCAUAGCUGUCUUGCUGUUGUACUAGCCAUGUCAGUCUACUCCACAUCAGUGUUCUUCCCCAAGUACAUCGCCUCUAUCCUUGACUACUAUGGCUAUUAUGAUGGUGACAUUUGACAAUCAACAGACUACCUACAAUGGAGACACAUAUGGAGAGACUUUGUGCCAUUGAGAAGGGUUUAAAUACUUUGUGCUGACAGUUCCAAAGAUGAUGGACAGCCGUAAUAUGAAAGAGCAGUUCAGGGUGAACAUGUGAACAAGACAAAUCUCCAAAGGCUUUACCUGGUUGUAUUAAUGUAACUGUUGUUCAGAAAAGACCAUUUCUUUGCAACAUUAUAGAGGACCACAAAUUACUUUGCUUGAGACUCUGGUGGUGAGGGUAUGGGGAUGGCACUUCUGGACACAUUUGUUUUAUAAAAUGCAGUGACAAUUCUUAGAAGUGCCAGCUUCUACAAUGAAGUAGAGGGACAUAUAUUAAAAACUUAAAGGUGUUUGCAGUCUAGUAUGUAUACCACCUUUCAAAAUUUAACUGUCAUGUGUCAAAUAUUUGCAAGGGUGCUGCUACUUAUUGAGAAAUGUGGAGUUGGCCACUCAGGAGCUGGUGUAUGUAUUGGGGGUAAUUGGUGAUAACACUGGUGAUGGCCAGUUCUGUGCAAUUAAAUCAGCUCACAUAGAAAUAUUUACAUGACAAUACAUGUGGUAAUUCAACAUAGUUGUUUCAAGAUCUUAUUGAUGUAAGCAGUUUUAUAUGCUAUCCAAAGAAUGUUGUAAUCUUUUUCUAUAAGUCAACCUAUAUGAAAACUCUUACUCUAAGAAAAGGUUAGUUCAAUCCUGAUUUUAAUUUCUUGUGUGGCGGUGGAUACAAGAAAUGAAUGUAUGCAACUAACUUUUAUGCCAAUGUUGGUUAUACAAUGCUACUAUAUCUGCAAGUCUUCCAUACAAGAUUUUGUGUGUAGUCUGGUAUCCGUUGCUACCCUUCUGGUGCACAUCUUCAGCCACAUUGUGGCCAGUUAUGACUUGACUUGACUUAGUCCUCUUCGCUCACUCGGGAGCAUAGGGCUUCUGUGAGAAGUCUUCAGCGUUUUCGGUUCAUCACUAGUAAUACACACUUUAUUUCCUAUGUAUCUAAGCUAAUAUAUUCAUAUUCGUGUAUAGACUCUAGAUAAUGUUUUCCAGGUAAUGAAUGAUAUAUCACAAUCAAACUUGGUCCGGGAGUAUUGUGAGGGCCAUUUUAAGGUAUGAUCCUGGAAAGCUCCUUUACUGAGUGCCAUUGAGUGAUGUGUGUUUUUGUAGUCUGAGUGAAAACAUUCUUUUGGAAUAUAAGAGGACAAGAAUUUUUUUAUCUUUUUAUAACUUGCAUUUUUCCUGUCACUGAUGAUUGUCAGUAUUAAUGAUUGCCUACUGUGGUUUGAAACUAGCAGCAUUGUAGUUACAUUAAGACACAGGAAGAUUAAACUUGAUGAUAUUACUAUGGUAGAAUGCAUAAAUUAUUGUUGUAUAAAAAGUGAUAAUAUCUUCAAUAAUCAUGACAUUAAUGCAAGGAUGAGGUGUGGUAUAAUAAAUUAAUGUGCAACAGACAUUUAUGUUGCUCACAAUUGUAACAGGUCUUCUUUUACUCUAGAGAAAUACAACAUCUGAUUUCCAUGCUCA
Long non-coding RNA from Branchiostoma belcheri (Belcher's lancelet), 1871 nucleotides. RefSeq lists it as uncharacterized. Lineage: Eukaryota; Metazoa; Chordata; Leptocardii; Amphioxiformes; Branchiostomatidae. The transcript has 2 exons. The record is from RefSeq and is a predicted model, not a curated record.